Molecule: non-coding RNA, 1556 nt
Organism: Doryrhamphus excisus (bluestripe pipefish)
Lineage: Eukaryota; Metazoa; Chordata; Actinopteri; Syngnathiformes; Syngnathidae
Source: RefSeq, a predicted model, not a curated record
GUAUGUAUAAUAGAAGAAAAAAAGAAAGCAAAGCAAUAAGGUACUAUCCAUUAAAUUUAAAAACCAUAAUAAUUUUCAUCUUUGUCACUAAUCUAAUGAAGACUUGUAACGACUUGUGUGUGCACCAAGUGUGCACCUUUAGGAGACCAGGCCAGCCUGCAUUCCAUCUCCUCAGUCUGCACCUUCCCCACCGGUGGUGAGAAAUCAAACCCGUCGGUGCGUUGAGGAAACGAGACUAUCAGUUGCAGAUGUGGGAUCGUUGCGUGUGGACGCCCGGGGGCCGCCAAAGGCAACACAACCACCGCCUAUCUUCCUGCACAGGCGGCGCGGCGGAGGCGCACGCACGUGUUUUCCAUGCUUAACGGCCUCCUUGUGCUGGCGUGGACUGUAUCACGGCUGGCCACCUCAUUAGGAUUACACAAACACGAGUGGACUGAUUUCCAAGACCAGACUUUGGAGGGUGAGGAACCCGUUCUAAGGAAGACCGCAUUCCAUGCAGAUAAGUUCUUUACCACAUGCUUUCCUUCUGCUUUUGGUGCAUUCAUGCUAACGUUCAACCUUUACCAUUCACAAGCAUUAUUGUUUGUUCUAUUUAGAUAUUUUGUUCCUGGAGGAUUUAUGAAGAAUAAGAAGAGGUAGUAGGAGGGAUCAGUCGAUGAAGCUGACCUGGCGGUGGAUCAUACCGUGCAACAUGAGGCAGGCUGAAUUGGUUUUACAAGCUCCAGUCUCAUCCCCGUGCCCCCGUUUCCUUCUCCUGCCCCCCCACUUCCACACGGACUACUUGGACAAACGGCAACAACAGGUGGCAAAGAGCAAAGCGGUCUGGAAGUUUCCGCUCAAGCUUUGGGAAAAGUCAGAAGGAAGAAGCUGAUUUGUACCUGAAGGCUGCCGAUGCUGCCAGACUCCCACCAGAGAGAGACCGCCGCCGUCUGCCGCCGACCCACUGCCUCCGCUUGGACUUGACUGGUGGAGCGAGACCAGCAGGAAUACCAUCCCUCGCACACUGACACCCCCCCCCCCCCUCGCACAUGCAGAAAGCGAUGACUGAUUUUGACUGGAAGUACACACACAUUGUGCUGGCCCAUCUCUGCACACACACACACACACACACACACACACACACACAAAUAAACACACCAUCUUUCACAAUAGCACCUCUCCACCCCCUCAGCACCUCGCUCCCCCCCGGUCCUGCCCCUCCGCUCGCCUUUAAUCACUCACUUUCACUCUUUUGGACCUGUUGCAACAUUCUUACUCUUUACACGUUAAAGCUACACUAUGUAACCUUUGCACUUUAAAGCUACACUAUGUAACCUUUACACGUUAAAGCUACACUAUGUAACCUUUGCACUUUAAAGCUACACUAUGUAACCUUUACACUUUAAAGCUACACUAUGUAACCUUUACACCUUAAAGCUACACUAUGUAACCUUUACACUUUAAAGCUACACUAUGUAACCUUUACACUUUAAAGCUACACUAUGUAACCUUUACACCUUAAAGCUACACUAUGUAACCUUUACACUUUAAAGCUACACUAUGUAACCUUUACACGU